RNAcentral lists this ribosomal RNA (1476 nucleotides) under bacterium. RNAcentral's name for it is "bacterial SSU rRNA". It matches the Rfam family "Bacterial small subunit ribosomal RNA". The record is from RNAcentral.
UAUAAUGAGAGUUUGAUCCUGGCUCAGGAUGAACGCUGGCGGCGUGCCUUAUACAUGCAAGUCGAACGCUCCGCAAGGGGCGUGGCGAACGGGUGAGUAACGCGUAGGUACUUCUUCCAUCACGGGCAUAACCCCGCGAAAGCGGGACUAAUUCCCGAUAACAAUCGCAAGAUUAAAUGGUAUUCGCAAGAAUUACCGGAUGGAACGAGGCCUGCGUCCUAUCAGCUAGUUGGUAGGGUAAAAGCCUACCAAGGCUAUGACGGGUAGCUGGUCUGAGAGGAUGAUCAGCCACAUGGGCACUGGGAUACGGGCCCAACUCCUACGGGAGGCAGCAGUAGGGAAUAUUGCGCAAUGGGGGAAACCCUGACGCAGCGACGCCGCGUGCGGGAUGAAGGCCUUCGGGUUGUAAACCGCUUUUAUGAGGGAAGAACUUUGACUGUACCUCAUGAAUAAGAGGUUGCUAACUCUGUGCCAGCAGCAGCGGUAAUACAGAGACCUCGAGCGUUAUCCGGAUUUAUUGGGCGUAAAGCGUGCCGAUCGGCGGUCUAAAAAGUUUGGGGUAAAAUCCAGGGGCUCAACCCUUGGCUGGCCUUGAAUACUGUUAGACUAGAGGGGCAAAGAGGUGCUUGGAACGAACGGUGUAGCAGUGAAAUGCGUUGAUAUCGUUCGGAACACCGAUAGCGAAGGCAGAGCACUGGGUGCCACCUGACGCUGCUAGGACGAAAGCGUGGGGAGCGAAUGGGAUUAGAUACCCCAGUAGUCCACGCUGUAAACGAUGAUGACUAGGCACGGGAGAGUAUCGACCCUCUUCCGCGCCGCAGCUAACGCGUUAAGUCAUCCGCCUGGGUAGUACGGUCGCAAGACUAAAACCUAAAGGAAUUGACGGGGAUCUGCACAAGCGGUGGAGCAUGUGGUUUAAUUCGACGAUAAGCGAGGAACCUUACCUAGACUUGACAUUGCACUGCAUACAUCAGAAAUGGUGUAGCCUUCGAGGGUGUGCAACAGGUGAUGCACGGUUGUCGUCAGCUCGUGUCGUGAGAUGUUGCCUUAAGUGGCAGAACGAGCGCAACCCUUGUCUCAUGUUGUUUUUAUCAUGAGAGACUGCCAGGGUUUAACCUGGAGGAAGGUGGGGAUGACGUCAAAUCAGCGUGUCUCUUACGUCUAGGGCUACACACGUGCUACAAUGGGGUGCAACAAAGGGACGCCAAGUCGCAAGACGGAGCAAAUCCUAACAAAUCACCCCCCAGUUCGGAUUGAGGGCUGCAACUCGCCCUCAUGAAGUCGGAAUCGCUAGUAACCGUGGAUCAGCCUCGCCACGGUGAAUACGUUCUCGGAUUUUGUACACACCGCCCGUCACACCAUGGAAGUGAGUAGUACCCAAAGUUCACCUUUUGGUGGAUCAAGGUAAGACCCAUGACUGGGGUGAAGUUUAACGGCUUCCUAUGCGAGCAAUUGCAUAGUAAAAUCUAACUAUAU